CAGCUCAAAUUUGAAAUCUGGCCGUCCUGCGGUCCGAGUUGUAAUUUGCAGAGGACGCUUCGGAUGCGGCGCCGGUCUAAGUUCCUUGGAACAGGACGUCAUAGAGGGUGAGAAUCCCGUACGUGACCGGUGACCCAGCCCGUGUGAAGCUCCUUCGACGAGUCGAGUUGUUUGGGAAUGCAGCUCUAAAUGGGUGGUAAAUUUCAUCUAAAGCUAAAUACCGGCCAGAGACCGAUAGCGCACAAGUAGAGUGAUCGAAAGAUGAAAAGCACUUUGGAAAGAGAGUUAAAAAGUACGUGAAAUUGUUGAAAGGGAAGCGCUUGCAACCAGACUUGCUCACAGGCGAUCAGCCGUCCUUCUGGGCGGUGCACUCGCCCGUGAUCAGGCCAGCAUCGGUUCAGGCGGCCGGAUAAAGGCCCCGGGAACGUGGCUCCCCACGGGGAGUGUUAUAGCCCGGGGUGCAAUGCGGCCCGCCGGGACCGAGGACCGCGCUUCGGCUAGGAUGCUGGCGUAAUGGUUGCAAGCGACCCGUCUUGAAACACGGACCAAGGAGUCUAACAUCUAUGCGAGUGUUUGGGUGUCAAACCCAUGCGCGCAAUGAAAGUGAACGGAGGUGGGAGCCCUCACAGGCGCACCAUCGACCGAUCCUGAUGUCUUCGGAUGGAUUUGAGUAAGAGCAUAGCUGUUGGGACCCGAAAGAUGGUGAACUAUGCCUGAAUAGGGUGAAGCCAGAGGAAACUCUGGUGGAGGCUCGCAGCGGUUCUGACGUGCAAAUCGAUCGUCAAAUUUGGGUAUAGGGGCGAAAGACUAAUCGAACCAUCUAGUAGCUGGUUCC
Molecule: ribosomal RNA, 835 nt
Filed under: Umbilicaria hyperborea
Lineage: Eukaryota; Fungi; Ascomycota; Lecanoromycetes; Umbilicariales; Umbilicariaceae
Description: eukaryotic LSU rRNA
Rfam family: Eukaryotic large subunit ribosomal RNA
Source: RNAcentral